Molecule: ribosomal RNA, 497 nt
Filed under: uncultured bacterium
Lineage: Bacteria
Description: partial 16S ribosomal RNA
Rfam family: Bacterial small subunit ribosomal RNA
Source: RNAcentral
GAUGAACGCUGGCGGCGUGCCUAAUACAUGCAAGUCGAGCGAACGGACGAGAAGCUUGCUUCUCUGAUGUUAGCGGCGGACGGGUGAGUAACACGUGGAUAACCUACCUAUAAGACUGGGAUAACUUCGGGAAACCGGAGCUAAUACCGGAUAAUAUUUUGAACCGCAUGGUUCAAAAGUGAAAGACGGUCUUGCUGUCACUUAUAGAUGGAUCCGCGCUGCAUUAGCUAGUUGGUAAGGUAACGGCUUACCAAGGCAACGAUGCAUAGCCGACCUGAGAGGGUGAUCGGCCACACUGGAACUGAGACACGGUCCGGACUCCUACGAGAGGCAGCAGUAGGGAAUCUUCCGGCAUGGGCGAAAGCCUGACGGAGCAACGCCGCGUGAGUGAUGAAGGUCUUCGGAUCGUAAAACUCUGUUAUUAGGGAAGAACAUAUGUGUAAGUAACUGUGCACAUCUUGACGGUACCUAAUCAGAAAGCCACGGCUAACUACGUG